Non-coding RNA from Hypoxylon sp. CI-4A, 88 nucleotides. The record is from the annotation of a GenBank genome assembly. Lineage: Eukaryota; Fungi; Ascomycota; Sordariomycetes; Xylariales; Hypoxylaceae.
GGUGGUGUAGUUUAGUGGUAUGAAUAGCUCAUUGUGGUAAAAGCUUCAAUGUUCUGAGCAGACCUGGGUUCGAUUCCCAGCACCGCCA